GGGGAAGGUACUAGAAAGGGGCGGUGCUCGCGCGCGGCGUCGGCACCGCGCGCGCCCCCGAGGGGACGCGAGCGGAGCCUUCCCGUUCCCGCCGCCUUCUGGGCUUUGGGCUUCACAUCCCUGCCCUUUGGCCAUUGCCCGCCUCCAUGGACCGCACGUUGUGAGGACACGUCUGCAGUGCCACGUCCAGGUCUGGGCUCCUCAGUACAAGAGAGGCAGGGAGCCGCUGGAGAUGGUCCGGUGGGGAGUCACGAAGAUAAUUUGGGGUUUGAAACACCUCUCGUAUGAGAAGUGACUGCAGGAGCUGGGCCUGUUUAGUCUGGAGAAGCCUGAGAGGGGAUUCAUCAAUACAUGUAAAUAUAUCAAAGCUCAAGGAACGGAUAAUUAAGAAAUUCUUCGCAUAGAGAUAACAGCUACAAGACACUAAGAUUCCAAGAGAAGAAUUAUGGCCUCCUUAUUGGGAAGACACAGACUUCAAGGGACCAACACGAUUGAUUUACAAGAUGAGGAGGGGAGUUGAAACGAAGCAGAAGAAAUCCUUUCUUUGAAUUUUUGAAUCAUGUAUGAAUAUGCAACAGGCUAUUGGUUUUCAUUAGCAAGGGUCCACAGUUCUGAACAGUGGAUUGGUACCAUCAAAUAUGAAGAUACCGUAUUUGAAAAUUAUUUUCAAAGAGUUGCCCAGAAAACAAACAAGCAACAAACAAAGGUAACUGACAGAGGUUUUCUAAUCUGCCGGCUCUGUCUCAUAGUUUAAUAGUCUGUAAUGUUCAACUUCAGCAAUUAUCACUACUUAGUAAGAUCCCAGGAUUUAGUACUACAUUCAGUGCUGCACAAACAAUUCUGCAUUUUUAUAGCCAUACUGUAUUCAGUGACAGUUAACAUGGGACAAAAUAAAUGUUUGAGCUUUGUGUUUGUA
Vidua chalybeata is the source of this 916-nucleotide long non-coding RNA. RefSeq lists it as uncharacterized. The transcript is spliced from 4 exons. Lineage: Eukaryota; Metazoa; Chordata; Aves; Passeriformes; Viduidae. The record is from RefSeq and is a predicted model, not a curated record.